Molecule: ribosomal RNA, 468 nt
Filed under: uncultured bacterium
Lineage: Bacteria
Description: partial 16S ribosomal RNA
Rfam family: Bacterial small subunit ribosomal RNA
Source: RNAcentral
GACGAACGCUGGCGGCGUGCUUAACACAUGCAAGUCGAACGGAAAGGCUCUGCUUUUUUGGGGCGCUCGAGUGGCGAACGUGUGAGUAACACGUGAGUAUCCUGCCCUCGACUGUGGGAUAACUUCAGGAAACGGGUGCUAAUACCGGACAGGAGCUCCUGCUGCAUAGUGGGGGUAGGAUAGUUUCGGGGGUUGGGGAUGGACUGGCGGCUUAUCAGCUUGUUGGGGGGGUUGUGGCUUAUCAAGGCUUUGACGGGUAGCAGGCCUGAGAGGGUGACCGGCCACAUUGGGACUGAGAUACGGCCCAGACUCCUACGGGAGGCAGCAGUGGGGAAUAUUGCACAAUGGGAGGAAGCCUGAUGCAGCAACGCCGCGUGCGGGAUGACGGCCUUCGGGUUGUAAACCGCUUUCGCCUGUGACGAGGCGUGAGUGACGGUAAUGGGUAAAGAAGCACCGGCUAACUACGUG